Molecule: ribosomal RNA, 783 nt
Filed under: uncultured bacterium
Lineage: Bacteria
Description: bacterial SSU rRNA
Rfam family: Bacterial small subunit ribosomal RNA
Source: RNAcentral
AGAGUUUGAUCCUGGCUCAGGACGAACGCUGGCGGCGUGCUUAACACAUGCAAGUCGAACGGUAAGGCCCUUCGGGGUACACGAGUGGCGAACGGGUGAGUAACACGUGGGUAAUCUGCCCUGCACAUCGGGAUAAGCCUGGGAAACUGGGUCUAAUACCGAAUAGGACCACAGGACACAUGUCCUGUGGUGGAAAGCUUUUGCGGUGUGGGAUGGGCCCGCGGCCUAUCAGCUUGUUGGUGGGGUGAUGGCCUACCAAGGCGACGACGGGUAGCCGGCUUGAGAGGGUGUCCGGCCACACUGGGACUGAGAUACGGCCCAGACUCCUACGGGAGGCAGCAGUGGGGAAUAUUGCACAAUGGGCGAAAGCCUGAUGCAGCGACGCCGCGUGGGGGAUGACGGCCUUCGGGUUGUAAACCUCUUUCACCAUCGACGAAGGUCCGGGUUUUCUCGGGCUGACGGUAGGUGGAGAAGAAGCACCGGCCAACUACGUGCCAGCAGCCGCGGUAAUACGUAGGGUGCGAGCGUUGUCCGGAAUUACUGGGCGUAAAGAGCUCGUAGGUGGUUUGUCGCGUUGUUCGUGAAAUCUCACGGCUUAACUGUGAGCGUGCGGGCGAUACGGGCAGACUUGAGUACUGCAGGGGAGACUGGAAUUCCUGGUGUAGCGGUGGAAUGCGCAGAUAUCAGGAGGAACACCGGUGGCGAAGGCGGGUCUCUGGGCAGUAACUGACGCUGAGGAGCGAAAGCGUGGGGAGCGAACAGGAUUAGAUACCCUGGUAGUCC